GGCGCGAGAACGGGCCGACCGCGCGGGGGUGGCGCCGCCGGUAGAGCGCCGGCCGCCUAGCCGCAGGGAAGAUGAUGGGCAGCGCUAGGGUUUGGGCUCAACCGCCGGACUUGCUCCGCCGUCGACCUCAGUUCCAGACGACGGGAGUAGCAGCGAACACAAUGGACGAAAAAAAGAGGGCUGCGUCGGCUGGCGGUCGGAUGUGUGAGGUCGCAUCAGGUUGUGCUCUCUCUGUGUUCAUUCAUUUCAAUUCAUGUAUUAGGUUUUAAGUUGUGUGAUGUGGUUCCUGUGGAUGCAAGAUUACAGGAAAAUCUCAUGCCGGCCAAAAAAAAGAAUGGAAUGUUCUCCUCCCUGUUUGAGAGGUUGUAUAUCGCGGGGCGGCCGGUUGACGCGCGGGAGAAGACGAGAGAUGCUGCAGAGGUGGAGGCAGUCGUGCAGAAGGUGUGAACGGCGGCCGCUGCAUCUGGUCGUCGGCGUGGCUCCGACCGUGUGCUGAAGUACGGCCGCCUCGCCGGGCAAGCGGCAACAAGACGGCAUGGGGCGAGCAGUUGAUGCGUGGAGCAGCCGAGAGAAGCUGCAGAUGUAGAGCCGGGCGUGCACAAGGUGUGAGUGGCGGCCGCUGCGUUGGUAGCCGGUGUGGCCCCGGUUGGAGUAUUUUUAGUGGCCAACACUGGAAGGGGAACGACUAAUCAACCAGAGAAGUAGGUGAUUCCCCAACUCAUCUGGCUCCCUCUCCUAGAACGGCCUCUUAUCUUCCUAAAUUUCCUUUUGGAUCUUGAUUUGUUUGGUUCUGGGUUCUCCUCUUUAGGCUCCAACAAAAAAAGAGAUUUUUAUGUCGAUGGCCAUUGAUCUUAAAGUAACAAGACGAUUGAUGUUUUCUAUGGCUCGCUGCUGAUUUUUGCAAUUUAGACAAGGAUCUAAGUAAGAAAGUCAGAAGAAGAGGAUAUGUAGGAGCAGGUCAACCAUGACCAGAUGCACACGUAUUUGAUGAAAUGCAGGUACAAGGCUUCUCUUAUUUUCAUUUUUCCCAUAUCUUUCUAUGCAUCUUAUCAUCAUCGUGAUUGUAUGGAGUAUGUGGAAUGGAUAUAUGCAAGGGGGAGGUGUCAGGUUUUACCGGUAGUCAUAAUUCUGAUUUGGUACUAUUUUCUUUUCAACAAUGAAGGUGACUUUCCAUGAUAAAUUAGGUCUUAGACCAAGCACCAUGGUGUGUGUAGUCCCGGCCUCUAGACAAGUGCUUCUCGGGAAGCACGAGUGCAUCCAGUAGCGGCGAGGUUGACAUCCUGAUCCGCUCCUUUCUUUGUUUUUGCUAGGACUUCCUAUGGUGCGAUUAUACCUUUGUUUUGGCGCCUCGCUGACAACGAUUAUGUCACUGUUAUAAGCCUGUCUAGGGAUGAUUGCGGCAUCACCGGUUGGAUGGGCUUGAAGGUACUACCUCCGGUCAACUUUAAUCGACACGCGAGCAUGAGAAGGGAGUAUUUGAUAAUUUCCAACUUUGCAUGUUUGUUGCCUUCAAGUACAGGAAAAAAAAGUUCAUGAGAAGGUGUAGGACUUAUGAUUAACAAUCUGUAAUAUUUUAGCAUUUCCCUUACUAUCCAUUCAUGUGUUUAAUGUAUUAAUUUUUUUACACAAAAGUGCAUGACAUUGGUUGCAACUCUGGCGUGGUUUUAUGUUCAGAGAAUUUACUUUUAUCCUGUAGUUUAGUGGAUAUGCUUUGAUCUGAAGGAUAUUUUUUGGGGUCAUUACAGUAUUAUGCGUGAUGAAAUUUGGAAAUGGUCUAAUAUAAUUCAUCGCUUCUGUGAAUUAGAUUCAUUCUAAGUACUAUCCUGGUUUUAUGCCAAAACCAACUAUCUAUCUUCUUCAUUUUUUUAAAAAAUAGUGCAUGGUUCUUUUUAUUUUUGUGUAAUUAUCAUCAGAUGAACAUACAAAUUUAUUUUCAUUCAAGCAUAUAGAUUGGUCUGCCAGAAUGUCACCAAGUCACAGCUUGAUAUGUAUGAUUUUAUCCUGCCUGAAAAACAAUCAUGCCUCUUAUUCUUUUUUUUUCACAGAUUGGUCUUGAGGGUAAUGAGUAGAAAAAAUCAUUUCGUGAGUCAAUUGGAUUGGCUCAGUUUAUUUGAGAAGGCCAAUAUAACAUUGUAAAAGACAUCUAUUUGGUUCCGGGAAUAGCAAUUUACUUUUUCUUGAUAUGGUACUGAUGUCCUGACAGUUUCCUUUACUUUUUAUUGAAAGAUAAUUGCAUUUGCAUGUAUUUCGUCUGCUGCUGCUGUUGUUCUUCCUCACAUCGCACAUUUCAUGGACUUCUUUUUUGCAAUGUGGGCUUAGUUUGCAGUCAUAAUGUUCAACUAAUUGUUUGAGAGAUAGCAGCUAUUAUUUUAGUCCUAUGAAGCAGAGUUGCUUCUCUGGAUGUUCUCCACAUGAAUACAAUGGGUUUGAUUUAAAUCAUGAUAUGGAUAUUCUUUUCAGUUCUGCUCCUGGUUUGUCGUAUAAGAAACAAAAUAUUCUUCAGCUUUUAGUUUGUUCAUAUGAUUCACGAUAGUUAUUGCCGUGUGUGUAUGCUACUGAGUAUGUGGUCUGAAAAUAUUGUUUUCUUCUAUUUCUAAUGAAAUUAUGGUUCUCUUAAUCAAUAGUUUGCUCUCUUAAUCAAUUUCUUGCCUGGGGUUGAAGAGCCUGCAGAUGGCAUAAAAUACUAAGAACUUCAUUGGGAUGGACAUAUUUUGAACCCGCACAUCGUGCAACACUGCAUACAUCAACUCUUGGAUUAUGCUAUUUAUUGCCUCGAGCAUUUUCAGAGGUGAAAAAUCUUGCAUGCAACCUUCUUUUUUCUUCUGGUAUGAUCAGAACUAUAUAAAAACCAUGAGUAAUUGACUGAAAUUGUGUGUGUUUCUGAUCAUGCUAGAUAUUUCUUAUGAGAGCUUCAGUAAAAUCCUUCACUUAUUAUCAAUUUGGCAAGACGCAUUGUUUAUUUACUGAGAAGUUGUCUCUUAUAGAUGAUUAUUCGUAGCUUGCUGGAAUAGACUUGUUCAGGGGACACCAAACACUGUCAAUUGAUUUAAAUUUGCUCAUAUUUAUUCUGACACUUCAUCAGUUGUUUGUUCUAAUUCCAUGUCAGAUAUAGAUGAGAAGCUACAUCAGAUGAGUUCUUUACUUCACUAAUGAUAUUGGUUUCUCCUCCUCAUUUAAUUUAUCUAUCGGAAGCUCUUAUCCACUUCGCUGAAGAUACAAGCCACUUGAGGUUUGCAUGGACUGAUGCAUGCUACAAUAUCUUCACUCUAGGUGUGAUUGGAAUACAUGAUCUUUGAGUUUGGUUUCUCUGAAGAACUACAACCUGCCCUUCUUGUUUUAAUUGUCAUGAUGUGUUCUUGGUACAAGCGAUAUAGUUAAAUUUAAGAAAAAUAGUAGCUUGCAGUUAAGCUCAUUAUAUUUUUGGUCUAUACAUGUGAUAUAAUUAAAUUUAGUGAAAAUAUUAGCUUAUGUUAAGGUAUUUCAGUAUUCUGCCUUCUGAACCCAUUGUAGGAUAAAUAGCAAGCUCCUUUGUUUUCUUACGAACUUUCUUCAUAACUAAUUGUACUUGGAGGCAUCUUCUUGCUGAGUUAAGGUUUUUUUAAAAACGAAGACCAUCUAUAUGAAUUAAAGCUGUACAUGCUCUUGCUGAGUUACUUCUUGGGUCAGUUUGAUUUUUUCAUUACGUUUUGUCAUAUUCCUUUUAUUGCAUCUUCCGUUUGUAUUUGUCCAAACUAUCAGAGAACUUGGAGUUGAGACUAAGAAUCUAUUUUUAUCCUCUUUUGUCAUAUAUAUCUUGCAGAAUGUUCAGCAGGUUAUGAGCUAAUUUUUCCUCUGGUAAGCAGAACUUCCUCUACGUAGGAAGUACAUAAUGAGUUUGAUUGUGUGUUGAUAUUGAGUGCUCACAAGAAAUUGAAAUAGACUACAGGUUUGUUUACUUUGGUAAUCUAUGUUCAGUAGGAUUUUCCAAAUAUAUGUUUCAGUUAUCCUGCAAAAAGACUUCAGUUGAGUUGAAUCCAGUUACAGGACUGAACAAUUAGGGAUUUGUACAUACAUAUUUCGUUGUGAUCUGUGGCACAAUUUUUGUUCAUGUCCCGUACCAGCUAUAGUCUGUAGAAUGACACUUAUCAUUGGUAUUGGUUCUACGCUACAGCUUAUUUUAUGAUACCUCUUUGUCAAGCUAACUGAUGAUUUUACUACAUGGCAACGUACUAAAGGUGGCGUUUAUUCAGUCAAGUCAGCCUAAAGCUGACACGAGCUAAUUGCCUAAAUUUUGGUAUCUGAACUUCUUAUAAACAAUGUGAAAAUAGAGAUGACCAUGCUUUGUAAUCUCAAGUAUCAUGUUUACUAUGACAUGGUUGGCAUACUUUAUCUUCAGAUCAUUUGCUAUGCUAUCUACUGUGCUUUGAGAGAGAAUGGUUUCACAAGAUUUUAGUCUGUACUAUAUUCAACCUAUAAGACAAGAUCCCUAACCUUUUUGAUGAACAAGAAGGCAUCAUGCACUAACUGACACAUUUUUGUAGGUCUACACAUUUUCCAGGAACAGCUGUUGUAGGCCAAGGACUGUCUGGAGUUGUCCACCUGUUGCGGUGGCUCCUGUUUUGCUUAGUCAAUUUUGACGGAAGGAAGGUAAGUUCUUCAGCCUGAGGGCACCCGUGUUGAUACAUAUCUGAACUUUCACUCUAAUACAUGGUAAUUUUGCUCAAAUGCUCUAAUUGCCUGAACAUGUGUUAAUCCUUUCGGUGUUUGGCCCUGUCAAGUAAUAUAUAACUGCUGGUCAUAGUUGAUUUUCUUUCAUAACACUAAAUUUGUAACCUGCCCUACACAGGCUAUGUAACUCCAGUACCGACUGACAUACUCACAUGAGGAAGGAUGUCGUAAACUGCGUGCAGUUUCUAGGCGAGAACAGUAGUGUUCCAAAUGUAGCAGUUCGCUUUGUAGCAACUUCGUUUCUCUAUUUUGCAUUUGUUGCCCGGUGAAGUGAACAAGGUCCGUGUGUGGUUCUGGCUGAAUACAUACCUUCUAACAUGUAUCUAAAGUUUGUUGUUACC
This is a long non-coding RNA of Lolium perenne, 5048 nucleotides long. RefSeq lists it as uncharacterized. The record is from RefSeq and is a predicted model, not a curated record. Lineage: Eukaryota; Viridiplantae; Streptophyta; Magnoliopsida; Poales; Poaceae.